AUUGAACGCUGGCGGCAGGCCUAACACAUGCAAGUCGAGCGGAUGAACGGAGCUUGCUCCUGGAUUCAGCGGCGGACGGGUGAGUAAUGCCUAGGAAUCUGCCUGGUAGUGGGGGAUAACGUCCGGAAACGGGCGCUAAUACCGCAUACGUCCUGAGGGAGAAAGUGGGGGAUCUUCGGACCUCACGCUAUCAGAUGAGCCUAGGUCGGAUUAGCUAGUUGGUGGGGUAAAGGCCUACCAAGGCGACGAUCCGUAACUGGUCUGAGAGGAUGAUCAGUCACACUGGAACUGAGACACGGUACAGACUCCUACGGGAGGCAGCAGUGGGGAAUAUUGGACAGUGGGCGAAAGCCUGAUCCAGCCAUGCCGCGUGUGUGAAGAAGGUCUUCGGAUUGUAAAGCACUUUAAGUUGGGAGGAAGGGCAGUAAGUUAAUACCUUGCUGUUUUGACGUUACCAACAGAAUAAGCACCGGCUAACUACGUG
Molecule: ribosomal RNA, 484 nt
Filed under: uncultured bacterium
Lineage: Bacteria
Description: partial 16S ribosomal RNA
Rfam family: Bacterial small subunit ribosomal RNA
Source: RNAcentral